RNAcentral lists this long non-coding RNA (267 nucleotides) under Carica papaya (papaya). RNAcentral's name for it is "long non-coding RNA (CPAP_LNC010487)". Lineage: Eukaryota; Viridiplantae; Streptophyta; Magnoliopsida; Brassicales; Caricaceae. The record is from RNAcentral.
UGGGUUUAGUGUGAUGAAAAAUAUUUAUAUCCAUUUCGCGUUAAUCUGGAUCGUUCAUCGUAUUUGAUCUCGACUGUCCGAUCGCGUUUAAAGAAGAAAUGAAUCUGGACCGUUCAUCGCGAUUUGAUCUCGAUCAUCCGAUCGCGUUUAAAAAUAAAUAAAUCCAAGUCGUCCACGUGCGCAUGAUCGAUCCUGGGUCGUUCGAUCGCAGGGCACGCCUAUCGCCCCCAUGGCAUUCUGCGCGACACCAACAUCAGCGCGCCUUAC